AUAAUCCUUUGUGAACGGAAAGUUGUGGAUUGGAGUUGUGGAAAUAACCUAAUCACAACGCAAUGUGAAGGUUGCAUACACAACCUACUCUCUCCCAACCCUCACAAAGCAGGAAACCACUUGUUGCGAGGAUGCCUUUUUAUUCGUAUGUUAAUUUAUUUUUUAAUUUUUUAUUGUUAUUACUAUGUUGGCUUAAUGGGCAAGCCUUUGUAGUAACAAUAUGGUUGGUCCUUUGUGAACUGAAAAUCAUGGGGUUCGACUUGUGGAAAUAACCUAAUUGCAAAGCAAUGUGAAGGUUGAGUGCACAACCUACUCGCCCCUAACCCCCCUCACAAAGCGGUAAAUCACUUGUUGCUAAGAUGCCUUUUUAUUAGUAUGUUGAUUUAUUUUUUUGCUUAAUUGUAUUUGUUCGUGUUGAAAUGUAUUUUUUAAUUUUUUAUUGUUAUUACCAUGUGGGUUUAGUGGGCAAGAAUUCGUAACGACAAUAUGGUUAAUCCUUUGAGAAGGGAAGGUUGCAGGUUUGAGUUGUGAAAAUAGUCUAAUUGCUAAGCAAUGUGAUGGUUGCCUACACAACCUACUCUCUCCCAACCCUCACAAAGUAGGACACCACUUGAUGCGAGGAUGCCUUUUUAUUAGUAUGUUGAUUUAUUUGUUCUUUAAUUGUACUUAUAGGUGUUGAAAUAUAUUUUUAAUUUUUUAUUAUUAUUUCUAUGUUGGUUUAAUGGGCAAGCCUUUGUAGUAGCAAUAUGGUUUCUCCUUUGUGAACGGAAGAUCACGGGUUCGAGUCUUGGAAAUAACCUAAUUGCAGGGCAAUGUGAAGUUUUCGUACACAACCUACUCUCCCCUAACCCCCCUCACAAAGCAAGAAAUCAUUUGCUACUAAGAUACCUUUUUAUUAGUAUGUUGAUUUAUCUUUUUUCCUUAAUUGUACUUAUUCGUGUUGAAAUUUAUUUUUUAAUCUUUUAAUGUUAUUACUAUGCUGGUUUAGUGGGCAAAAAUUUGUUACAAUGAUAUGGUUGAUCCUUCGUGAACGGAAGGUUGCGGGUUCGAGUUGUGGAAAUAACCUAAUUGCAAAGCAAUAUGAUGGUUGCGGACACAACCUACUCUCUCCCAACCCUCACAAACCAAGACACUUGUUGUGAGAUCACGAGUACGAAUUGCGGAAAUUACCUAGUUGCAAAGCAAUGUGAAGGUUGAGUACACAACCUGCAACCCUCACAAAGUGGUUGUGGGUUUGAGUUGUGGAAAUAACCUAAUUGCAAAGCAAUGUGAAGGUUGCAUUCACAGCCUUCUCUCUUCCAACCAUCACAAAGCAGGAGGACACCACUUACUGUUUGGAUGUCUUUUGAGUAGUAUGUUGAUUUAACUUUUCUUUUAAUUAUACUUAUUGGUGUUGGAAUGUAUUUUUAAUUUUUUUUUUUUUGUUAUUACUAUGAUGGUUUGGUGGACUAGCCUUCGUAGUAAAGAUAUGGUUGCUCCUUCGUGAAAUGAAGAUCACGGGUUCGAGUUUUGGAAAUAACCUAAUUUACAAAGCUAUGUGAAGGUUGCAUGCACAACCUACUCUCCCCUAACCCCCUCACAAAGCAGGACACCAUUUGUUGUGAGGUUCCCUUUUUAUUACUAUGUUGAUAUAUUUUUUCCUUUAAUAUAACUUAUGGUGUUGAAAUGUAUGUUUUAAUUUUUUAUUGUUAUUACUAUGUUGGUUUAGUGGGCAAGCCUUCCUAGUAAUGAUAUGGUUCCUACUUU
Long non-coding RNA from Diospyros lotus (date-plum), 1746 nucleotides. RefSeq lists it as uncharacterized. The transcript has 3 exons. The record is from RefSeq and is a predicted model, not a curated record. Lineage: Eukaryota; Viridiplantae; Streptophyta; Magnoliopsida; Ericales; Ebenaceae.